GAGUUUGAUUAUGGCUCAGGACGAACGCUGGCGGCGUGCUUAACACAUGCAAGUCGAACGUGAUUUUUGUGGAAAUUCUUUCGGGAAUGGAAGCGAAAUGAAAGUGGCGAACGGGUGAGUAACACGUGAGCAACCUACCUUACACAGGGGGAUAGCCGUUGGAAACGACGAUUAAUACCGCAUGAGACCACAGUAUCGCAUGGUAUAGGGGUCAAAGAUUUAUCGGUGUAAGAUGGGCUCGCGUCUGAUUAGCUAGUUGGAAGGGUAAAGGCCUACCAAGGCGACGAUCAGUAGCCGGUCUGAGAGGAUGAACGGCCACAUUGGAACUGAGACACGGUCCAAACUCCUACGGGAGGCAGCAGUGGGGAAUAUUGCACAAUGGGGGGAACCCUGAUGCAGCGACGCCGCGUGAGCGAAGAAGGUUUUCGAAUCGUAAAGCUCUGUCCUAUGAGAAGAUAA
Molecule: ribosomal RNA, 459 nt
Filed under: Parvimonas sp. canine oral taxon 102
Lineage: Bacteria; Bacillati; Bacillota; Tissierellia; Tissierellales; Peptoniphilaceae
Description: bacterial SSU rRNA
Rfam family: Bacterial small subunit ribosomal RNA
Source: RNAcentral